Talpa occidentalis (Iberian mole) is the source of this 516-nucleotide long non-coding RNA. RefSeq lists it as uncharacterized. The transcript has 3 exons. Lineage: Eukaryota; Metazoa; Chordata; Mammalia; Eulipotyphla; Talpidae. The record is from RefSeq and is a predicted model, not a curated record.
UUUAGCUCAAAAUAACCCUCUUGCCAAAAUGGAGUACUUCGAGGUGGCGUAUUCUGCUACUCUUCACUUCGCACCAGCAAAAGAUGAGGACUUGUCUCGAGAAAGGAGGAUUUACUUUCUAUCAGGGGACAAAGGCCACACCUUGGAAACCUUGCAGCCUGUAUGCAAAGCAUAGUCUAUAUGUGUGAACAGUACUUACAGAAAUAAGAGCAGAAGCCAGAACUCUGAAGGACCUUCACCUGCGGCCAUGGAAUGAACCGGUGCUGCAGAGGCUGCGGGCAGCCUGGUAGCCCAGCACUCAACCGCUGCGCCAUGCGCCACCAGGAGAGGCCCAGCUCCAUAUAACUUCUCAAGCUACACAUAAAAUAGAACUUAGAGAUCAAGUUUGAGUAACCAGAGGACAGAAACCAUGACUUAUUCAUCUCUCUUCUUUAUACCUACUAUAAAGACUUCAAUGCCUUUCCUUUAUAUAUAAUUUUAUUCAGCUUAAUCCAUCUCAUUUUUAUAAAUAAAGAA